RNAcentral lists this transfer RNA (65 nucleotides) under Procecidochares utilis. RNAcentral describes it as "tRNA-Glu". The record is from RNAcentral. Lineage: Eukaryota; Metazoa; Arthropoda; Insecta; Diptera; Tephritidae.
AUUUAUAUAGUUUAAUAAAAAAACUUUACAUUUUCAUUGUAAUAUUAAAAAUUUUUUUAUAAAUU